RNAcentral lists this unclassified non-coding RNA (391 nucleotides) under soil metagenome. RNAcentral's name for it is "partial contains 5.8S ribosomal RNA, internal transcribed spacer 2, and large subunit ribosomal RNA". The stretch from base 1 to 122 matches the Rfam family "5.8S ribosomal RNA", at positions 35 to 154 of the family's 154-position model. The record is from RNAcentral.
GAUGAAGAACGUAGCGAGAUGCGAUACUUGGUGUGAAUUGCAGAAUCCCGUGAACCAUCGAGUCUUUGAACGCAAGUUGCGCCCGAAGCCAUUAGGCCGAGGGCACGCCUGCCUGGGCGUCACACGUCGUUGCCCCCCCAUCUACUCCUUCGGGAUUGCGGGGGGCGGAUGAUGGCCUCUCGUGCGCCUCGUCGCGCGGUUGGCCUAAAUGCCAAGUCCUCGGCGACGCACGCCACGACAAUCGGUGGUUGCGAAACCUCGGUUGCCUGUCGUGUGCGGUCGUCGCGCAUCGAGGGCUCGAAAAAAUUGCCGGGCUUCGGCUCGACUUUCAACGCGACCCCAGGUCAGGCGGGGUUACCCGCUGAAUUUAAGCAUAUCAAUAAGCGGAGGA